GAAGUACUCGCUUCGUCCGGAAAUACUUGUCCUAAAAAUGGAUACAAAUGGAUGUAUCUAGAACUAAUAUACAUCUACAUACAUUCAUUCCUUGGACACGUAUUUCUGGACAGAGGGAGUAUGUG
Molecule: non-coding RNA, 125 nt
Organism: Triticum urartu
Lineage: Eukaryota; Viridiplantae; Streptophyta; Magnoliopsida; Poales; Poaceae
Source: Rfam